This 495-nucleotide ribosomal RNA is filed under the name uncultured bacterium. RNAcentral's name for it is "partial 16S ribosomal RNA". It matches the Rfam family "Bacterial small subunit ribosomal RNA", at positions 28 to 507 of the family's 1533-position model. The record is from RNAcentral.
GACGAACGCUGGCGGCGUGCCUAAUACAUGCAAGUAGAACGCUGAAGGAGGAGCUUGCUUCUCUGGAUGAGUUGCGAACGGGUGAGUAACGCGUAGGUAACCUGCCUGGUAGCGGGGGAUAACUAUUGGAAACGAUAGCUAAUACCGCAUAAGAGUAGAUGUCGCAUGACAUUUGCUUAAAAGGUGCAAUUGCAUCACUACCAGAUGGACCUGCGUUGUAUUAGCUAGUUGGUGAGGUAACGGCUCACCAAGGCAACGAUACAUAGCCGACCUGAGAGGGGUAUCGGGCCAACCUAGACUGAGACACGGCCCAGACUCCUACGGGAGGCAGCAGUAGGGAAUCUUCGGCAAUGGACGGAAGUCUGACCGAGCAACGCCGCGUGAGUGAAGAAGGUUUUCGGAUCGUAAAGCUCUGUUGUAAGAGAAGAACGAGUGUGAGAGUGGAAAGUUCACACUGUGACGGUAUCUUACCAGAAAGGGACGGCUAACUACGUG